RNAcentral lists this ribosomal RNA (499 nucleotides) under uncultured bacterium. Its description in RNAcentral is "partial 16S ribosomal RNA". It matches the Rfam family "Bacterial small subunit ribosomal RNA", at positions 28 to 507 of the family's 1533-position model. The record is from RNAcentral.
GACGAACGCUGGCGGCGUGCCUAAUACAUGCAAGUCGAGCGAAGUUUUUCUGGUGCUUGCACCGGAAAAACUUAGCGGCGAACGGGUGCGUAACACGUAAAGAACCUGCCUCAUAGACUGGGACAACUAUUGGAAACGAUAGCUAAUACCGGAUCACAGCAUUAACUGCAUGGUUGAUGUUUAAAAGUUGGUUUUGCUAACACUAUGAGAUGGCUUUGCGGUGCAUUAGCUAGUUGGUGGGGUAAAGGCCUACCAAGGCGACGAUGCAUAGCCGACCUGAGAGGGUGAUCGGCCACACUGGGACUGAGACACGGCCCAGACUCCUACGGGAGGGAGCAGUAGGGAAUCUUCCGCAAUGGGCGAAAGCCUGACGGAGCAACGCCGCGUGAGUGAAGAAGGAUGUCGGUUCGUAAAGCUCUGUUGUUAGGGAAGAAUGAUUGUGUAGUAACGAUACACAGUAGAGACGGUACCUAACCAGAAAGCCACGGCUAACUACGUG